GCAGUGGUAGCUAGGUGGUGGAGUUCUCGCCUUCCACACGGGAGACCCGGGUUCAAUUCCCAGCCAAUGUA
This 71-nucleotide transfer RNA is filed under the name Loxodonta africana (African savanna elephant). It matches the Rfam family "tRNA". Rfam says of the family: Transfer RNA (tRNA) molecules are approximately 80 nucleotides in length. Their secondary structure includes four short double-helical elements and three loops (D, anti-codon, and T loops). Further hydrogen bonds mediate the characteristic L-shaped molecular structure. tRNAs have two regions of fundamental functional importance: the anti-codon, which is responsible for specific mRNA codon recognition, and the 3' end, to which the tRNAs corresponding amino acid is attached (by aminoacyl-tRNA synthetases). tRNAs cope with the degeneracy of the genetic code in two manners: having more than one tRNA (with a specific anti-codon) for a particular amino acid; and 'wobble' base-pairing, i.e. permitting non-standard base-pairing at the 3rd anti-codon position. Lineage: Eukaryota; Metazoa; Chordata; Mammalia; Proboscidea; Elephantidae. The record is from Rfam by way of RNAcentral.